Molecule: ribosomal RNA, 682 nt
Filed under: Streptomyces sp. FXJ1.116
Lineage: Bacteria; Bacillati; Actinomycetota; Actinomycetes; Kitasatosporales; Streptomycetaceae
Description: bacterial SSU rRNA
Rfam family: Bacterial small subunit ribosomal RNA
Source: RNAcentral
UGCAAGUCGAACGGUGAAGCCCUUCGGGGUGGAUCAGUGGCGAACGGGUGAGUAACACGUGGGCAAUCUGCCCUGCACUCUGGGACAAGCCCUGGAAACGGGGUCUAAUACCGGAUAUGACCAUUGACCGCAUGGUUGGUGGUGUAAAGCUCCGGCGGUGCAGGAUGAGCCCGCGGCCUAUCAGCUUGUUGGUGGGGUGAUGGCCUACCAAGGCGACGACGGGUAGCCGGCCUGAGAGGGCGACCGGCCACACUGGGACUGAGACACGGCCCAGACUCCUACGGGAGGCAGCAGUGGGGAAUAUUGCACAAUGGGCGAAAGCCUGAUGCAGCGACGCCGCGUGAGGGAUGACGGCCUUCGGGUUGUAAACCUCUUUCAGCAGGGAAGAAGCGCAAGUGACGGUACCUGCAGAAGAAGCACCGGCUAACUACGUGCCAGCAGCCGCGGUAAUACGUAGGGUGCGAGCGUUGUCCGGAAUUAUUGGGCGUAAAGAGCUCGUAGGCGGCUUGUCGCGUCGGAUGUGAAAGCCCGGGGCUUAACUCCGGGUCUGCAUUCGAUACGGGCAGGCUAGAGUUCGGUAGGGGAGAUCGGAAUUCCUGGUGUAGCGGUGAAAUGCGCAGAUAUCAGGAGGAACACCGGUGGCGAAGGCGGAUCUCUGGGCCGAUACUGACGCUGAGGAGCG